GUUACACUCUGACGCCGGACCAAAGGACAUGUGCAGAUGUGAAUGAAUGUGAAGAGCAUGUUGACAUCUGUGAAGGUGGUCAGUGCACUAAUGUUCCUGGAGAAUAUCACUGCAUGUGUCAUGAAGGAUUCAUGACUUCUGUGGACAUGAGGACAUGCAUUGAUGUGAAUGAGUGUAAACUCAACACCAACAUCUGUGUGUUUGGGGAAUGUGAG
Long non-coding RNA from Sinocyclocheilus grahami, 215 nucleotides. RefSeq lists it as uncharacterized. Lineage: Eukaryota; Metazoa; Chordata; Actinopteri; Cypriniformes; Cyprinidae. The record is from RefSeq and is a predicted model, not a curated record. The transcript is spliced from 3 exons.